GAAGAGUUAUCCUGGCAAUAAGAGCUAAAUCUUCUUAAUAGCCUACGUAAUCCUACUUGUGUGUAUGAUAAUAAAAUCAUAUCAUCAGCAUAAAGCAAGCUGUUACAGUAAGUAUUUAAGAUCAUUGGCUUAUGUACCAUGGUAUCCUUCAUUAACCCUGGCAAGUCAUUGAUGUAUAAAUUAAAUAAUCAU
Molecule: non-coding RNA, 192 nt
Organism: Pseudonaja textilis
Lineage: Eukaryota; Metazoa; Chordata; Lepidosauria; Squamata; Elapidae
Source: RefSeq, a predicted model, not a curated record